UCAAUUAAAAGAUCACAUGCAAUCAAUUUAUUUCAUAAAUAAAUAAAAUAAAAGUCUUCACUAAAAUUAAAAUCAAAACCAUCCUGUGCUAAUACAGACAUGAAAAUCAAAUUUUAAUUAGCUAUAAGAACAAAAUAAUAGUCUUUUAGAUCUAAUCUAAAUCCUGACAGUAAUCAAAGAGGAUAAGUACCAACGACUUCUACAGUAACUUUUGCUCCAUUGCCGACCUAAAGAAUUAUGUCACCUUCCCUCAACCUCCUACUUUCUAUUAGACCCUGCAUUAAAGUACAUAUAUGAACAUUAGAAUCAGAGUCCAAUACCCA
This 323-nucleotide long non-coding RNA is filed under the name Elaeis guineensis (African oil palm). RNAcentral's name for it is "long non-coding RNA (EGUI_LNC015043)". Lineage: Eukaryota; Viridiplantae; Streptophyta; Magnoliopsida; Arecales; Arecaceae. The record is from RNAcentral.